AAGGGCACCACAAGAACGCGUGGAGCAUGUGGCUUAAUUUGACUCAACGCGGGGAAUCUUACCGGGUCCGGACACACUGAGGAUUGACAGACGGUUAUUGACUUAUACUCGCUUAAUGGCUUUAAGCUGUUAAACGUUUAACACCUUUACACAAAGAUGCUAGUCCUUUCAUGAUCGUUUGAUAGGUGGUGCAUGGCCGUUCUUAGUUCGUGGAGUGAUCUGUCUGCCUAAUUGCGUUUCACUAAGGUCCCAUUCUUCAUACGUAUGAAUAGCGUCUUAACUCACUUUUACCGCUACCUAUUUGUAGUAAGCGCUCAUACUAUUGGGACCGGAAUGCAACGAGCGCGACUGCACCACCUAAUUGCCCCUUAUCUACCAUUAAUUACUUUAUUAACCGCCCUGUACGGGCACCGGGGCCUUACCUUUACUGAAACUAGCUGGACCGCUGCUUUCCUUUAAGCCAGAGGAAGGUUGCGGCAAUAACAGGUCUGUGAUGCCCUCAGAUGUUCCGGGCCGCACACGUGCUACAAUGAUCAGCACAAAGAGUAUUACCUAUCUUCUUAUACCUAACCCAAUAUGUUAAACUUAUUGCGUAAGGGUAUUGUCUUAACGACUUAUCCGCUUUAGCGCUUUAAGAUUAUUGGACGGUUAUGCCUGCCUCGAAAGAGUGUACAGGGCAGCAAGAGUAAUGAUUCCCUCGUUUUUACUACUAAUACCGCGCUUGGUAACAUAUUACACUCGAUUAAGUAGGGUCUUUGCUUUUAAUAGCAAUUGCUAUCCUCACCCUUAGCUCUAAGGAUAUUACUAUCUCUAAGGUCUACAGGGAGGUGUAUAUGGCGCACUUACUUAUUCACGGUGGGGACAGACCAUUGUUAACUG
This 879-nucleotide ribosomal RNA is filed under the name Globorotalia truncatulinoides. RNAcentral's name for it is "SSU rRNA". The stretch from base 22 to 528 matches the Rfam family "Eukaryotic small subunit ribosomal RNA", at positions 1178 to 1501 of the family's 1831-position model. Lineage: Eukaryota; Foraminifera; Rotaliida; Globorotaliidae. The record is from RNAcentral.